This 225-nucleotide long non-coding RNA is filed under the name Hordeum vulgare. RNAcentral's name for it is "long non-coding RNA (HVUL_LNC016402)". The record is from RNAcentral. Lineage: Eukaryota; Viridiplantae; Streptophyta; Magnoliopsida; Poales; Poaceae.
AGAGACGGGGAAGUAGAUGAGUUCUCCGGCAGCGUGACGGUGCGCUAGUGAUGGUGAUGAUCUACUCCUGCACGGCUCCGCUCGAGCUCCGUAGAAAUCCGAUCUAGAGGAAGAACUACGUGGUAUAGUUUUGAGUUGCACGUGGCAAAGUUGUGUCUCAAAAGCCCUAAAACCAUCAAUAUAUAUAGGAGGAGGAGAGGGGCUAGCCUUUGGGAUCAAGGGAGC